This 267-nucleotide long non-coding RNA is filed under the name Nicotiana benthamiana. RNAcentral's name for it is "long non-coding RNA (NBEN_LNC041502)". The record is from RNAcentral. Lineage: Eukaryota; Viridiplantae; Streptophyta; Magnoliopsida; Solanales; Solanaceae.
AAAAUUUCAUCCUCCAAAUUCGGUUUCUCAAUAGCACGAUGUAUAUCAACUCCUUAUCCACGAACUCUUUGCCCACGAUUCCAGUAACAUAAUUUUACGGUUUUAUCAAACCAGUUUUAAAAUAAGUUCUUCUUUUACAUUAUAUAGUUCUUUUCUUUCUCCAUCGUGUGCAUAUUAAAUAAUAAUUUUACACUACAAAAGGUCUUUGUAUUUCAUAAACGAUCUUUAUUCCAGUUGGAAUUGUAUUCCUUUAACUGAUAAUUUCCG